UGCACUCUUUAAAAAGGUGAUUUUUGUCCCCCGCACUUUUCCAAGUUAAACACAUACUGAGUCCAAAUGGUGGAUUUGUAUACGGUAUUCUUUGCGUUUUGUUACUUUGGGCUGAUUGAGCGACCAUCCAGCCAAUCACAGAUGCAGUUAAAGGGUUGUGUGAUGGCGUGACGGGGGGACGAGACCCUUCACAGAGCUGGUCAGUGCUGAACCAGAUCAAAGACGGGCAGAGCUCUACACACGCCAACACGCUGGAUUUACCCCCCUCUGGACUGCAUUAAUAAAACAGACCUGAACACCUACACUCUUUGGAAUUUGAUGGUUACUAGCUGGUUAUUGGGUGUUUUGCUGUGAGAUCUGUCAUUGGCUGCCGUUUGACCUCCUGCUAACAUACUGGACGCCUUAAAGAGAGGAUGUCCAGCCCUGCGCAAAUCCUUCAGCUGCGUCUUUGAAACUUUAGCACUCUGGUUCCCUGUGUUAUGUCUCUGAGU
Molecule: long non-coding RNA, 491 nt
Organism: Myxocyprinus asiaticus (Chinese sucker)
Lineage: Eukaryota; Metazoa; Chordata; Actinopteri; Cypriniformes; Catostomidae
Exons: 3
Source: RefSeq, a predicted model, not a curated record